UGAGGAAUAUUGGUCAAUGGACGGAAGUCUGAACCAGCCAAGUAGCGUGCAGGAUGACGGCCCUAUGGGUUGUAAACUGCUUUUGUAUGGGGAUAAAGUUAGGGACGUGUCCCUAUUUGCAGGUACCAUACGAAUAAGGACCGGCUAAUUCCGUGCCAGCAGCCGCGGUAAUACGGAAGGUCCAGGCGUUAUCCGGAUUUAUUGGGUUUAAAGGGAGCGUAGGCUGGAGAUUAAGUGUGUUGUGAAAUGUAGACGCUCAACGUCUGAAUUGCAGCGCAUACUGGUUUCCUUGAGUACGCACAACGUUGGCGGAAUUCGUCGUGUAGCGGUGAAAUGCUUAGAUAUCAUGAAGAACUCCGAUUGCGAAGGCAGCUUACGGGAGCGCAACUGACGCUGAAGCUCGAAGGUGCGGGUAUCGAACAGG
Molecule: ribosomal RNA, 424 nt
Filed under: Verrucomicrobiota bacterium
Lineage: Bacteria; Pseudomonadati; Verrucomicrobiota
Description: Verrucomicrobia bacterium partial 16S ribosomal RNA
Rfam family: Bacterial small subunit ribosomal RNA
Source: RNAcentral